AGGUAGUAACAACCAUUUGAGUCUGGGAUUUCUGAAUGGGGAAACCCACUUACAUAAGUAAGUAUCAUUAACUGAAUACAUAGGUUAAUGAGGCGAACCGGGGGAACUGAAACAUCUAAGUACCCCGAGGAAAAGAAAUCAACCGAGAUUCCGAAAGUAGCGGCGAGCGAAAUUGGACUAGCCCUUAAGCUUUACACGCGUUAGACGAACGGUCUGGAAAGUCCGACGAUACAGGGUGAUAGUCCCGUAGUUGACGACGUGUGUUCAGUGAAAUCGAGUAGGGCGGGACACGUGAUAUCCUGUCUGAAUAUGGGGGGACCAUCCUCCAAGGCUAAAUACUACUGACUGACCGAUAGUGAACCAGUACCGUGAGGGAAAGGCGAAAAGAACCCCUGUGAGGGGAGUGAAAUAGAACCUGAAACCGUGUACGUACAAGCAGUAGGAGCAGGCUUUGUCCUGUGACUGCGUACCUUUUGUAUAAUGGGUCAGCGACUUAUAUUCAGUGGCAAGGUUAACCAUCUAGGGGAGCCGUAGGGAAACCGAGUCUUAACUGGGCGUUCAGUCUCUGGAUAUAGACCCGAAACCAGGUGAUCUAGCCAUGGGCAGGUUGAAGGUUGAGUAACAUCAACUGGAGGACCGAACCGACUAAUGUUGAAAAAUUAGCGGAUGACUUGUGGCUAGGGGUGAAAGGCCAAUCAAACCUGGAGAUAGCUGGUUCUCCCCGAAAGCUAUUUAGGUAGCGCCUCGGACGAAUACUACUGGGGGUAGAGCACUGUUAAGGCUAGGGGGUCAUCCCGACUUACCAACCCUUUG
This 813-nucleotide ribosomal RNA is filed under the name Vibrio parahaemolyticus. Its description in RNAcentral is "partial 23S ribosomal RNA". It matches the Rfam family "Bacterial large subunit ribosomal RNA", at positions 84 to 949 of the family's 2925-position model. Lineage: Bacteria; Pseudomonadati; Pseudomonadota; Gammaproteobacteria; Vibrionales; Vibrionaceae. The record is from RNAcentral.